RNAcentral lists this ribosomal RNA (460 nucleotides) under uncultured bacterium. Its description in RNAcentral is "partial 16S ribosomal RNA". It matches the Rfam family "Bacterial small subunit ribosomal RNA", at positions 338 to 795 of the family's 1533-position model. The record is from RNAcentral.
CCUACGGGCGGCUGCAGUGAGGAAUAUUGGUCAAUGGACGAGAGUCUGAACCAGCCAAGUAGCGUGAAGGAUGACUGCCCUAUGGGUUGUAAACUUCUUUUAUAUGGGACUAAAAUGUUCCACGUGUGGGAGUUUGUAUGUACCAUAUGAAUAAGAAUCGGCUAACUCCGUGCCAGCAGCCGCGGUAAUACGGGGGAGCAGAGCGUUAUCCGGAUUUAUGGGGUUUAAAGGGGGCGUAGGUGGAUUGUUAAGUCAGUUGUGAAAGUUUGCGGCUAAACCGUAAAAUUGCAGUUGAAACUGGCAGUCUUGAGUACAGUAGAGGUGGGCGGAAUUCGUGGUGUAGCGGUGAAAUGCUUAGAUAUCACGAAGAACUCCGAUUGCGAAGGCAGUUCACUGGACCGCAACUGACACUGAGGCUCGAAAGUGUGGGUAUCAAACAGGAUUAGAUACCCCUGUAGUC